This is a non-coding RNA of Phascolarctos cinereus (koala), 327 nucleotides long. NCBI's taxonomy places the organism in Eukaryota, Metazoa, Chordata, Mammalia, Diprotodontia, Phascolarctidae. The record is from RefSeq and is a predicted model, not a curated record.
UAUGGUUUUUCCAGGAGCAAUGUAUGUCUGUGAGAACUGGACUAUAAGGAAAGUUGUGCCCUGCAGAAUUGAUACUUUCAAAUUAUGAUGCUGGAGAAGACUCUGAGAGUUCCUUGGACUGCAAGGAAGUCAAAUCAGUUAACACUUAAAGAAAUUAAUUCAGACUAUUCACUGGAUGGUCAAAUACUGAAGAUGAAACUUCCUGUAUGUCACCUCCCGUUGGAAUGAGCUCCCUGACAGCAGAGACUGUCUUGCUUUUCUACUAUAUCCACAGGACUUUGCAUCAUGCUAUGUACAUAAGUGUUUAAUAAAUGCUUUUUCAUUCAU